Molecule: ribosomal RNA, 509 nt
Filed under: uncultured bacterium
Lineage: Bacteria
Description: bacterial SSU rRNA
Rfam family: Bacterial small subunit ribosomal RNA
Source: RNAcentral
CCUGGCUUAGGAUGAACGCUGGCGGCGUGCCUAACACAUGCAAGUCGAACGGGACUAUCAAGUGAUGUUUCGGACUGAACUUUUAGUUAGUGGCGGACGGGUGAGUAACGCGUGGACAACCUGCCUCUCACUGGGGGAUAGCAGCUGGAAACGGCUGGUAAUACCGCAUGCGUUCAAUGUGCCGCAUGACACAUUGAAGAAAGAUUUAUCGGUGAGAGAUGGGUCCGCGUCUGAUUAGCCAGUUGGCGGGGUAACGGCCCACCAAAGCGACGAUCAGUAGCCGGCCUGAGAGGGCGGACGGCCACAUUGGGACUGAGACACGGCCCAGACUCCUACGGGAGGCAGCAGUGGGGGAUAUUGCACAAUGGGCGCAAGCCUGAUGCAGCGACGCCGCGUGAGUGAAGAAGUAUUUCGGUAUGUAAAGCUCUAUCAGCAGGGAAGAAAGGCCCGCAAGGGAGAUGACGGUACCUGACUAAGAACGCCCCGGCUAACUACGUGCCAGCCGCCGC